GCUGCUGUUAAAAAGCUCGUAGUUGGAUCAAGAGCUCGUCCGUGCACGGUGGCCGUUGUUUGCCACAUUGGCUCCGGUCAGUGUGGCGGCAGCGGAACAACCCCGUGCGUUCAACGGUCGACUCUAACAGAUCGAAACGGUUCCCUGUGAGUAAGCUCCUUAAUUGGGGCUGAAAGCGCCUACGCAUCAACCAUAUGCAUACGGGACGUCGAUCAAAGUUACUGUGAACAAACCAGCGUGUCCAAAGCAGGCUAGCGCCUGAAUGUUCGAGCAUGGAAUAACAAGGGAUCGAUUCUCUCGGUUCUUUUUGUUGGUUUUUAACCCGAGAAGGAGUAAUUCAGGCCACGGUGUCUGAGUUGGGAUCCGUGGGCUCCGGCUCACGCCCCAAUUAGGCCGUGUCCUUACGGGAUCAAUAGGGACUGACGGGGUCGUACCUACUUCCGCGUCAGAGGUGAAAUUCUUAGAUCGCGGGAAGAGGAACUUCUGCGAAAGCAUUCGACAAGAAUGUCUUCAUUAAUCAAGAACGAGAGUGUGGGGAUCGAAGAUGAUCAGAUACCGUCGUAGUCCAC
This 569-nucleotide ribosomal RNA is filed under the name uncultured marine eukaryote. RNAcentral describes it as "bacterial SSU rRNA". It matches the Rfam family "Eukaryotic small subunit ribosomal RNA", at positions 612 to 1028 of the family's 1831-position model. The record is from RNAcentral.